UCCUUCUUAGCUCAGCUUGUUAGAGUCCCGCUAAAGCGGGAUUAAUCAUGAGGUCCCUGGUUCGAACCCAGGAGAGGGAG
Molecule: transfer RNA, 80 nt
Filed under: Bacteroidia bacterium
Lineage: Bacteria; Pseudomonadati; Bacteroidota; Bacteroidia
Description: tRNA-OTHER
Source: RNAcentral